Cebus imitator (Panamanian white-faced capuchin) is the source of this 3374-nucleotide long non-coding RNA. RefSeq lists it as uncharacterized. The record is from RefSeq and is a predicted model, not a curated record. NCBI's taxonomy places the organism in Eukaryota, Metazoa, Chordata, Mammalia, Primates, Cebidae. The transcript has 3 exons.
CUAUGCUGACACACAGAAAGUUAUCUUUACACCGUUCUGCUUUUACAAUACCACAUUGUGAUUUUUGUGCACCAGUUUUUGCAAAUGUAUUCUUUCUGUAUAAUUAUCACUGAAACUUUGCUUAACCUCGCUCUCCCACCCCUAUUGAAGGAGCACAAUAAAAAAACUGAGGUUUUCAAGGGAAUGUCAGACAUCCAUGGAGCAGCAUUAUGUGGUGUCUCCCCUGGGCCCAGCUUUAAGGAAAACAUUUUCCUUGUCUCUCUUUCUUUUUCACUGACCACUCUAUCAUUUUGAGAGAUCUUAAACCCACAUUGAUGUAUUGGGAGCUGGUCUCUCCAAUAAUUAGGGUCACAGCAAGGCAAGCCCAUAGAGCCCCUCCCGUUCUCCCUUGCUAAGCUGAGCUUCUAACAAAUCCAGCCUCCAGCCUUGUAAACAGGAACCUAGGUUCCAGGAUGUGGUUGCACCGGGCUCUUGAACUCAGGAUGUUGACCCAGUUAAGCAGAAUGUCAGCCCCUGAGAACCAAGAUGCAGUUUUUCUUAGAAUAGCACCCAGCUACUUGCAAACUCUCUAUAUAACCCCCACAGUCUUUAAGCCAGGCUGCUGCCUUCACUGCCUGCAACUAACAAAAUUUUGGUGCUGAAACCCAGGAUGGGAGUAGGUGCUGGCCACUCUCCUUUCUUCCAUGUCUAGCCCCCCCAGUCUGAACCUCUUUCUAGACCCAAGAAUCUCAGACUCCCCCAUUGCUGGCAACCUCAUCCACCAUCAGAGCCUCAGCUAGGCCCUGCCCAGCCCAACCUACCAGAAACGAGGACGCUUUCGCUUCCCAAUACUCCGGACUGGGCAAACCCGAAGAAUAGAAGCAGGCAAGGACCGCCGUGGGCAGCGGGCCCAGUGAGACAGGGUCCUGCUCGCGGCGUCAAGGAGGAGCGCUGUGGCUGGGUAAGCUUGGCGCACUCCCUCGGCCUCGCCUUCCCGAUCACUCUUUUCUAUAAGCACGCCGGCAGGUGUCCCCAGCGCAGCCAAUCCGCCUCCGCAGUGGGUGAGUUGCUGUCUAGAGAGAGAAGACAAACUCCAGUAUCUUUAAGUCCAUUGGCCAGACGAGCCAUUCGGCAGGUGGGUUCUAUUCUCCGACCGAAGUGCUGGAUCCCACGGAACUGGAGGGGAAAGUGCCUAAAAAUCACGAGUGCAGGCUUCUGAGACUUGGUGGGAACGGACCUUCCUCUUAGGUCAAAAAUGUUGUAAGAUCAGGAUUCCUAAGGACCAGAUCAUAGACUCCAGCUCAGUCCAAGACCCGGAAGGCAAAGAACCUCUACGAGGGUAAUAUCCUCAUAAGGAGCCUCCGUUUAGACUCUUAAGGGGAUGUCCGCUUUACAAAACCUCCAGAGGCUGCUAGCCUUCCUUCUUCCAGAAAAGGAAAUAACCACGCGCCUGUCCUAGCUGUAGCCUGAGGUUCAAGCACCCGGGCCACAGGGACUAGUUGGGGCACACAGUCUGCUGUGGACUCCGUCUUCUUCCUACCGCAGGACGCAGAAACUCGCCCCUCUCUCCUCCAAGCCUCACCAUCCUAAUGACUCUCCAAGACCUUCUUGACUCUGCAAGAACCCAAAUGACUUUCCAAGAUCCUCUGCUUUUAUUAAUUUAGCUGCCAAGUAUUUCUGGCCCUGUAAAGGAAACAGCAGGUCAGGUCCUUAAAUAUAUUUAUUUACCGUGUGUGUGUGUGUGUGAAACAAAUCUUUUUCUUGUAAACCAAUAUAUUAUAUAGUAGGGAGUUUAAUUCCUUACUUUCAUUUUUCUCCCUAAACUUUUUAUAGUCAACAAGAGCAAAAGCACACUGCAAUGCCCAAACAAAUUGCAGGCAUUUUCUGCUCCCUGAAGCCUGGGAAUUAAUUCAUAUACUCAGCCCCUUUUCCUUUGGCAGGCCAUUGAAGAAGUAGUUGAACCACAUGAUUGGAUUGACCAGAAUAAAAACAAAACAACAACAACAACAACAACAACAACAACUACAGAAACCACUGAGAUCUGUUCAAAAAGGCUGACUCCUCAUAUCAUCACACCAGCAAGGAAUGGACCAGCCUCUGAUUUUCCCUUCUUGGCUGACUUUACAAGGUUGGAGGCAGCUCAUGAGAAUCAUGCAACAAAGACAGAAAGAAAGUGCUGGAGAAGCCGCACCUGCAGGGCCUUACCUUUAGCUGGUUUGUAUGGUCCCACUCCAUGUAGCUGUUGGAAAACCAGUAUCUCUAAUGUGCUUUAUGGGAUAGCUGUUACCUUCCACUAAUUUAUGUCUAUGACCUAUAAACCUAAAGUAUCCUUUUAUAAAUUUUAUUCAGUCUUUAUGGAGGAAAUUUUUAGUGCAUGCCAGGUAUAGUGUCAAGCACUGGGAUUCCUAAGAUGAAUGUAACAUUGUCCUCAUCAUCCAUUAAGUCACAAUCUAGUAGAGGAAUAGAAGUUAAAAAAAAAAAGAAUUAUAACCAUAAUACAGAAGUGAACAGGCUUCAGUGGUAGCACAGAGAGGGUUUCAGGGCUACUGUCACAGAGGUGAUAACAUUUAAGAUACAGAUUCCAAAUUCAGAUGUGUUUGUUUUGCAAAAUUCUAGGGUCUAUGUGCUCAGGUCCUGAAAAUUCCAGUGACAAAUUUUACCUAAAAUUUAGGUGGCAAAUGAAUCUUACUAUAACCACUUCGAACCAUUGUGUGGCUGGUCCAUCUUAUGGGACCCAUCUUCAGUUCAGAGGGAUGGAGGCAGAGGGAAUACAGCAGGUAAGCUCAAUCAGUGAUAUGACAGGGCUUUCCGAAUUGGGGCCAAGAAGGGCUUGCUUUAUUUUCACGCUAUUUAAAAAUAAGUUUUUGCAACUGAUUUACCCUAUUAAAUACUUCCAUGCAUAACUCAGUGGAGAUUUAUUUGCAAUAGUAGGAUCAGGUAAUUUGAAAACGUUAAUAUGUGUGGUUGUAGCAGGAGGAGGACUGGGUUCCAGCAUUUAAUAAGAGAAUCCAUGGCUUUAUGAAAAUGUCUAAAGAUAUAAUUUUCAUUAAAGUUAUACUUCGCCUUUAGUUGUACAGCUCUUUCUUUCAGUUUCAAUAAAAUCUAAAACAGGAAAUGUCAAUAUACAUGCUCAGGUAAGGAAAGAAUGUGUCUAUGCAGAGAGUAGGAUCCAAUCCUCUACUCUACAGGUAGUAAUGAAGAAAGAAGGCUCAUCACUUCAAUGAGCACUGUGAGCCCUUGAAUGGGCUUAUAGGUACAUACUUACAGUUAAAAUAUGUAUCUUGCAUUUUAGUAUUGGAUAAAAUACUGUCACAUAUUUCUCAUUAAAUCUACAGUUCUACCAUCUUUCCUGAUUAAUUUUGCCAGUAAAAGUUCCUUACCUUUCUAUAAAAGUC